Molecule: ribosomal RNA, 425 nt
Filed under: uncultured prokaryote
Description: bacterial SSU rRNA
Rfam family: Bacterial small subunit ribosomal RNA
Source: RNAcentral
UAACGAAUAUUCCGCAAUGCGCGAAAGCGUGACGGAGCAAUGCCGCGUGCAGGAUGAAGCCCCUCGGGGUGUAAACUGCUGUCAGGGUGCAGGAACACAAUGACCGCACCCAGAGGAAGGACCGGCUAACUUCGUGCCAGCAGCCGCGGUAAUACGAAGGGUCCGAGCGUUAAUCGGAAUCACUGGGCUUAAAGAGUGCGUAGGCUGACUCGCAAGUGCUUUGUGAAAUCCCAUGGCUCAACCAUGGAAUGGCUUGGUAGACUGCGGGUCUUGAGGUCGGUAGGGGCUGCCGGAACAGUAGGUGUAGCGGUGAAAUGCGUAGAUAUCUACUGGAACGCCAAAGGCGAAGGCAGGCAGCUGGGCCGAUUCUGACGCUGAGGCACGAAAGCGUGGGUAGCGAACAGGAUUAGAUACCCCCGUAGUCC